This 72-nucleotide transfer RNA is filed under the name Capra hircus (goat). It matches the Rfam family "tRNA". From Rfam's summary of the family: Transfer RNA (tRNA) molecules are approximately 80 nucleotides in length. Their secondary structure includes four short double-helical elements and three loops (D, anti-codon, and T loops). The record is from Rfam by way of RNAcentral. RNAcentral also lists the same sequence under 1 other name. Lineage: Eukaryota; Metazoa; Chordata; Mammalia; Artiodactyla; Bovidae.
UUCCUGGUGGCUCAGAGGUUAAAGCGUCUGCCUGCAAUGUGGGAGAACUGGGUUCAAUCCCUAGGUAGGGAA